CCUACGGGAGGCAGCAGUGGGGAAUAUUGGGCAAUGGGCGCAAGCCUGACCCAGCAAUGCCGCGUGAAGGAAGAAGGCUUUCGGGUUGUAAACUUCUUUGACAGGGGAAGAGCAGAAGACGGUACCCUGAAAACAAGCCACGGCUAACUACGUGCCAGCAGCCGCGGUAAUACGUAGGUGGCAAGCGUUGUCCGGAUUUAAUGGGUGUAAAGGGCGUGUAGCCGGGAAUGCAAGUCAGAUGUGAAAUCUGGAGGCUUUAACUCCAAAUUGCAUUUGAAACUGUUUUUCUUGAGUACUGGAGAGGCAGACGGAAUUCCUUGUGUAGCGGUGAAAUGCGUAGAUAUAAGGAGGAACACCAGUGGCGAAGGCGGUCUGCUGGACAGCAACUGACGGUGAGGCGCGAAAGCGUGGGGAGCAAACAGGAUUAGAUACCCCGGUAGUC
RNAcentral lists this ribosomal RNA (442 nucleotides) under uncultured bacterium. RNAcentral describes it as "partial 16S ribosomal RNA". It matches the Rfam family "Bacterial small subunit ribosomal RNA", at positions 338 to 795 of the family's 1533-position model. The record is from RNAcentral.